Molecule: ribosomal RNA, 394 nt
Filed under: Lophoturus sp. VV-2017
Lineage: Eukaryota; Metazoa; Arthropoda; Diplopoda; Polyxenida; Lophoproctidae
Description: partial small subunit ribosomal RNA
Source: RNAcentral
AUAAAAAGUAGUAUCUGCCCAAUGUUUAUAAUGAAUGGCUGCAGUAUCAUGACUGUACAAAGGUAGCAUAAUCAUUUGUUCUUUAAUUGAGGACUGGUAUGAAAGAUUUAACUUUAAUUAAAUUGUCUUUUUUUUAUGAUUUUAAUUUUAUUUUUCUAUGAAGAAGUGGAAAUUUAUUAAAAAGACAAGAAGACCCUAUGAAAGUUUAUAAUUUUUAUCCAUAUAUAUAGAUUGGAAAUAGAUGUUAUUGGGUUGGGGCGAUUGUUUGUGUAAACUUUGAUUUUGUUUUUCUUUGAUAGAGUAUUUUGAUCUUUUUUUAAUUUGUUGAAUAAGUUACUCUAGGGAUAACAGCAUAAUUUACUUUGAUAGUUCAUAUUGGUGAGUAAGUUUGUGA